RNAcentral lists this ribosomal RNA (443 nucleotides) under uncultured bacterium. RNAcentral describes it as "partial 16S ribosomal RNA". It matches the Rfam family "Bacterial small subunit ribosomal RNA", at positions 338 to 795 of the family's 1533-position model. The record is from RNAcentral.
CCUACGGGGGGCAGCAGUGGGGAAUAUUGGGCAAUGGGCGCAAGCCUUACCCAGCAAUACCGCGUGAGUGAAGAAGGUCUUCGGAUUGUAAAGCUCUUUGAUCAGGGACGAACAGAUGACGGUACCUGAAGAACAAGCCCCGGCUAACUACGUGCCAGCAGCCGCGGUAAAACGUAGGGGGCGGGCGUUGUCCGGAAUGACUGGGCGUAAAGGGUGCGUAGGCGGGAUAGUAAGGUAGGAGUGAAAUUCCCAGGGCUUAACUCGGGUGCUGCGUCAAAGACUGUUGUGCUUGAGUGCGGGGGAGGUUAAUGGAAUUCCUGGUGUAGCGGUGGAAUGCGUAGAUAUCAGGAGGAACACCAGAGGCGAAGGCGAUUAACUGGACCGUAACUGACGCUGAGGCACGAAAGUGUGGGUAGCAAACAGGAUUAGAUACCCUUGUAGUC